Hirundo rustica (Barn swallow) is the source of this 1970-nucleotide long non-coding RNA. RefSeq lists it as uncharacterized. Lineage: Eukaryota; Metazoa; Chordata; Aves; Passeriformes; Hirundinidae. The record is from RefSeq and is a predicted model, not a curated record. The transcript is spliced from 3 exons.
AGUGAUUGAUUACAGAAGAUGCUGAGAAAUGCAUUUGCACAUUUCAGCGUGCCCCAAAUUAAUUAAUUAUUCCACUUGAGUUACAGGGAGGAGAACCUCAAUGCACCCCUUCCAGCUUGAUGCCAGGGCCAGCAAGAAAUGCCCAGAACUUGGAGAAGGAUGAAGGUCAUCAGGAGAGCAUUUGAAGGGCAGCACAAAGGAAUUCCUACUACCCCAGCCAACAGUGAUGGCUUCCUUCCUUGCAAGUCAUUCCAGAAGCCAUGCAGGGCUCAUUACCGUGGCACCAGCAUGGAUAUUCCCAUCUCCCCAUGACCUUCCAUGGGGUUACCUUGAGAAGACUGCACCACAGUCCCCUGUGCUUUCUCUUUCAGAAAACCCACCAAGAUGCUCAGAGGCACUGAGGUGCAGUGCAGGAGAUACCUCUGGUCUGUCAUAGUUGAUGCAGCAUUCAGACCCAUGCAGGCAUGUGAAUCCAUGGUGAAGCAAGGAAGAGCAGCUUUGGUAACUCUCCCUGUCUCUUCAUGUGCCCUGAUUGUUUGCUCUCCAGUUCCCAUGCUAGGCCAAUGCCUCCUGGCCAGAAUAGAAAUGCAGCCAUGCAGAUUUGUUAAAUGUCUGUGGGCUGAGAAUGCCUCUACCUGUCCAGUGUCUAAGAGACUGCAUGAUCCUGCCUGAUGAAAGAUGAUGAAAGAGACAUGACAAACAAAGGAGUAGGAGCAUGGAGGGGCGAUAAGAACUGUGAUAAGGUCUAAAAAACCCCAGCAGAGAAGCAGGCAGUGAAGGAAUAGUCUCACAGCCACUUCGGCCAAAUUCCACAGAAAACUCAUAGAGAAAAUAAGGAAGGUACUGUAUCUGCAGGAUUGUGGUGGCUGCCAAAAGUCUUUCCUGUUGAUUCUUGAAUUUCUGUUUCAUGAAUAAAGUGUCGAGAGGCCUCAGGCAAGUUUAAGACUGUGAUAUGUAAAGAGACUCCAUUGCUGCAUGGGGAAUGAGAAAGUCUUUCUCUAAAAAAUAAAAUUCAGAAGAAGAAUUUGGGAUGCAAAAGUCAAAAGGCUUCAAAUCCUUGACAUAUGUGGACUUCAGGCAGUAGACUUCUCCCUUCAGCUCCUUCCUCUGGGUCACUUGCCACUUUCAGAACCCAUUACGAGAGUCCUGCUCCCAACACAGGCCUGAAUGCAAGUAAAGCAUAGUCAGGGCAAUAAUCCAAAUUCUACUACAAGCUCAGCCUGAACUUCUAGUAUGAGUAAUACAACUGGAAGAAGCCUGAAGAAUGAUUAAAUCUAGUCCUUGGCAGUCACAGGCAACCAAGGAUCCACAUGCUUUCUUUGCUUUGCCACAAAACACUUCAUUAAUCCAUGAGAAAAUCAAGAUCUUUGGUGCAGAAAUAAAGUAAGCAACAGCCACCCCAAAGGACCAUAGAAAUGUAGCAAUAAGGGUCCUAAUGUCCUAGGACAAUGUCAGAGUAAGAAACAAGUCAGCAGAAAAACGCCCAGAUGAUAUCUUUGGAGGCAACUCAUUGGUUCUUGAUUUGACUCUUGUUUCUAAUCUUACGAUCAUCUCAGUUCUGAAGUUUGAUGACCAGAGAGAAAACCUCAUGAGAUUGCUUGGUUGCUUGCUCCUACAUGGAGAAGCUCUGCCUGUUUUCAACCUUCUUCCCUCCUGCUGUAGCCAGUCUCUGACCUCCAGAAGGAGGAGAGACACCAAGAACCACAUCCUGUCCAAACCUUCCUUAUUCCCCCUGUUCAGAUAAACUGAGCAUUAUGGGGAGACACAAUGUGCCCUGGGGCCUACAAAGGACCAUCAGGAGCACUGAAUUAACUAAUCUUUAUCCCACCUUGGCAGAGGUCCCAAUCAAUGGAGCAUUUUGCCAGGGAAUCUGGAUGAGGAUCUAACUGCAUUUUUGUGAUAAAUCCUAAUUUAGAAGUUUAAAGAUUUAGCCAGUGUUGAACAUCUCAUAUUGACUCAGGAAAACUCUG